Molecule: transfer RNA, 73 nt
Filed under: Operophtera brumata (winter moth)
Lineage: Eukaryota; Metazoa; Arthropoda; Insecta; Lepidoptera; Geometridae
Rfam family: tRNA
About the family: Transfer RNA (tRNA) molecules are approximately 80 nucleotides in length. Their secondary structure includes four short double-helical elements and three loops (D, anti-codon, and T loops). Further hydrogen bonds mediate the characteristic L-shaped molecular structure. tRNAs have two regions of fundamental functional importance: the anti-codon, which is responsible for specific mRNA codon recognition, and the 3' end, to which the tRNAs corresponding amino acid is attached (by aminoacyl-tRNA synthetases). tRNAs cope with the degeneracy of the genetic code in two manners: having more than one tRNA (with a specific anti-codon) for a particular amino acid; and 'wobble' base-pairing, i.e. permitting non-standard base-pairing at the 3rd anti-codon position.
Source: Rfam by way of RNAcentral
CGUUCUAUGGCCGAACUGGUGAAGGCAUCGCCAAUCAUGGGCAAAGAUGCGGGUUAGAAUCCCGCUGGAACGG